GUGUCAGCCGCCGCGGUAAGACGAAGGGGGCUAGCGUUGUUCGGAAUUACUGGGCGUAAAGCGCACGUAGGCGGCUUUUCAAGUCAGAUGUGAAAGCCCCGGGCUUAACCCGGGAACAGCAUUUGAUACUGUCGAGCUUGAGACCGGGAGAGGAUAGCGGAAUUCCCAGUGUAGAGGUGAAAUUCGUAGAUAUUGGGAAGAACACCAGUGGCGAAGGCGGCUAUCUGGACCGGUACUGACGCUGAGGUGCGAAAGCGUGGGGAGCAAACAGGAUUAGAUACCCCAGUAGUCC
This 292-nucleotide ribosomal RNA is filed under the name uncultured bacterium. RNAcentral describes it as "partial 16S ribosomal RNA". It matches the Rfam family "Bacterial small subunit ribosomal RNA", at positions 505 to 796 of the family's 1533-position model. The record is from RNAcentral.